UGCGUAGGCGGUCUGGUCAGUCGGAUGUGAAAGCCCCGGGCUUAACCUGGGAAUUGCAUUCGAUACUGCCAGGCUAGAAUGUUGGAGAGGGAAGUGGAAUUUCCGGUGUAGCGGUGAAAUGCGUAGAGAUCGGAAGGAACACCAGUGGCGAAGGCGGCUUCCUGGCCAAACAUUGACGCUGAGGUGCGAAAGCGUGGGUAGCGAACAGGAUUAGAUACCCUGGUAGUCC
This 229-nucleotide ribosomal RNA is filed under the name uncultured bacterium. RNAcentral's name for it is "partial 16S ribosomal RNA". It matches the Rfam family "Bacterial small subunit ribosomal RNA", at positions 568 to 796 of the family's 1533-position model. The record is from RNAcentral.